Long non-coding RNA from Lemur catta (Ring-tailed lemur), 136 nucleotides. RefSeq lists it as uncharacterized. NCBI's taxonomy places the organism in Eukaryota, Metazoa, Chordata, Mammalia, Primates, Lemuridae. The transcript is spliced from 3 exons. The record is from RefSeq and is a predicted model, not a curated record.
CGUCAGCCUGCAAGGCACCUGUAAGAAGAGCACCCUUGAGGAAUUUCAAGAUUUGGAAUUAACUCUAACCAUGCGAUUUUAGAAAAGGAAUUGAGAUUCAGUAUCACCAAGGUAAGCACGGCUAACUCAAAUUAAC